RNAcentral lists this ribosomal RNA (492 nucleotides) under uncultured bacterium. Its description in RNAcentral is "partial 16S ribosomal RNA". It matches the Rfam family "Bacterial small subunit ribosomal RNA", at positions 29 to 507 of the family's 1533-position model. The record is from RNAcentral.
AGUGAACGCUGACGGUAGGCCUAACACAUGCAAGUCGAACGGCAGCACAGUAAGAGCUUGCUCUUACGGGUGGCGAGUGGCGGACGGGUGAGGAAUACAUCGGAAUCUACUUUUUCGUGGGGGAUAACGUAGGGAAACUUACGCUAAUACCGCAUACGACCUACGGGGGAAAGCAGGGGAUCUUCGGACCUUGCGCGAUUGAAUGAGCCGAUGUCGGAUUAGCUAGUUGGCGGGGUAAAGGCCCACCAAGGCGACGAUCCGUAGCUGGUGUGAGAGGAUGGUCAGCCACACUGGAACGGGGACACGGUCCAGACUCCUAAGGGAGGCAGCAGUGGGGAAUAUUGGACAAUGGGGGCAAGCCUGAUCCAACCAUACCGCGUGGGUGAAGAAGGCCUUCGGGUUGUAAAGCCCUUUUGUUGGGAAAGAAAAGCAGCAGGUUAAUACCCCGCUGUUCUGACGGUACCCAAAGAAUAAGCACCGGCUAACUUCGUG